This 253-nucleotide ribosomal RNA is filed under the name uncultured bacterium. Its description in RNAcentral is "partial 16S ribosomal RNA". It matches the Rfam family "Bacterial small subunit ribosomal RNA", at positions 524 to 776 of the family's 1533-position model. The record is from RNAcentral.
UACGAAGGGGGCUAGCGUUGCUCGGAAUCACUGGGCGUAAAGGGUGCGUAGGCGGGUCUUUAAGUCAGGGGGGAAAUCCUGGAGCUCAACUCCAGAACUGCCUUUGAUACUGAGGAUCUUGAGUUCGGGAGAGGUGAGUGGAACUGCGAGUGUAGAGGUGAAAUUCGUAGAUAUUCGCAAGAACACCAGUGGCGAAGGCGGCUCACUGGCCCGAUACUGACGCCGAGGCACGAAAGCGUGGGGAGCAAACAGG